GAUUUUCAAGAACCUGGGACUUUGCACUGAAGCCCUUUUUUAACUCAGAAGCCCAUCUUGAUGAUCCUGUGGUCUGGAGGUCUGAGCUGGCCUGUGCCAGGCAGGAUCAGCUUACAGAUGGCUUUGCAGAGCUCAUUUUGGAGUGUCACCCAGCUUGUUAGUCCAUGGUGGGCCUGUCAGAGCCCUUGGGACCAGUGCUAUGGAGGGAAGAAAGUGUGCCUGAGUAUCCACAGAUGCACAGAUGUAAUCCAAUUGCAUGAAUGCUGGAGCUAUUUGAAAUACCCUGGGGUGUCCCCUGGGCUUUCCCCUUCCAGCCUAGGUGGACAGGGGUCUUCUGUGGGGCCAAGGUCCCCCUGCAGUCCUCUGCAGAGCCUCAAAAGGCACCAGAUGCUUCCCUGCAGGCUGCUGAGGAAGAGUUAUGCGUGGAGGUCAGGGCGAGCUGGGGAGCUGUGACUGCCUUAAAUCAAGCAAUUCUUUGCAGCUGUCAGGUUGACGCUUUAACGUCACACCAAGGGCUGCUCCUCAAGCGUGGAUAUGCAGGUUUUUGGUGUUUUUUGUUUUUUGUUUUUUGCUUUUUCAGUGCAAGGAUAUUUCCAGCCUGUGCUCACCCGCUGCCUGCAGCAAGGAAGGAAGCACCUGCAGAGCUUUUUCUGCCUCGACUCAGACCCGUGGAGAUGGCAUAG
This 683-nucleotide long non-coding RNA is filed under the name Anas platyrhynchos platyrhynchos (common mallard). Its description in RNAcentral is "lncRNA (ENSAPLG00000016505.1)". Lineage: Eukaryota; Metazoa; Chordata; Aves; Anseriformes; Anatidae. The record is from RNAcentral.